Papaver somniferum (opium poppy) is the source of this 2617-nucleotide long non-coding RNA. RefSeq lists it as uncharacterized. The record is from RefSeq and is a predicted model, not a curated record. The transcript is spliced from 4 exons. NCBI's taxonomy places the organism in Eukaryota, Viridiplantae, Streptophyta, Magnoliopsida, Ranunculales, Papaveraceae.
AAAAAGUCUAGCAAAAUAAAAAUUCUGUAGCGCAUCGAAAACUCUGUUGCACGUCAACAUCGACCAACAAAAAAAAUUCUAGUUCGCAAAAAAGAAGAAGAGGAAACUCCACUACUGAUAUUUGAAGCUCUCAAUUCUCUGCCAAAAGAUUUUUCUGUUUUCAACACUGAAUUAGACAAUUGGCUCGUCGUACCAAGGGUUGGGAAUCUUAUUUACUAAACAUAGAAUUGACGGAAGAACUCGAAGAAGAGUUUGCUUCCUAGAUAAAUUUCAGUGAAAAUAAGAGAGAAGGAAAAUGAAAUUCUGUUUGAUUCAAAGUGAGGUUAAGGUAUGGUUAGAUGGGUUCGCAUUUAAAUGGAGACAAGGGUUUAACUGCGAAGAAAACAGUGAGGAUAUGUAAGGAUUACUGCCGUUGUUUUUAUGUCGAUGCAUGAUGGGUAUGGAUGCCUAAUUGAAUCAGUGAGUAUCUGGGAUUGUGCAUGACAGGUCAGGUCAAGAAAGCUAUGGAUCCAAAUCUACAAAACAAGGUCUUCUUCAACAAUGGGAGGAUGAACUUAUCAUUCAUAUGGAUUGUUUUAACUAAUUUCUUGACACCAGGUUUGGUUCUCUCAAUUAUUCUUUUUCCACUCUGUAGAUUGUAUGUAGUGAUUCUUUUGGAAUUAAUUAUUAAGACUUAGCUUUAUGUUAUAGCCAGCUAACCAUGUAAAGCGAUGGUUGGGAUCUAGCUUAAUUCAUUUGUGGUUUUGGGUUACCAUAGGAAACUUCCCAAUGGAAAAUUGUAUAUUUCUAGUUGGUGUUGUGAAGCAUAAAUGCAUUUUUGUGUGCCCCCUAUAAGAUGGCCUUGAACAUGUGGAAACCUCUCUACCAUGUCGUGCUCCUUUUUAAAGUAGUUUGUUUGAGAUUCAUGUCACACAGACUCUCGCCUAAUUUUAUUUUUACUUCGAAACUGAUGGUAAAAGAGUACAUUGUAGAUUUCUGUAUACUAGCGAUCUUUAGUGGUUGAUGUGUGUGACAAUUUUUUGGUGGUUGUUGUAAGGACUAGUGUAGUUGGGAAUUAUGUGCUAAUAUAACCGGUAGUCUGGUAUUACUCAUUUAAUUCAUGUAAUGCUGUAGCAUGAGGUGUUGUUGGUUUCGUUUGGUUAGCCUGUGAUGUGCUUGAACGGUAUAACAGUAUUAUAGUAGGAUAAUACUAAUGCCUUGCUGCCAGUACGUAUAUCCAUACUGCGUUUCAUUUUUAUGUGUAGUGUUGACUUGACACAGCAUUUCUAUUUAGCCUAUACGUCGGUUAUCUACAUUUGUAACUGUGGUAAUACGGCUUCUAAAUUGCUUUUGGCGGAUCCUGAAAUUUAUUUAUGAUGUCUGUCGAGAAGUCUGGCUGAUUAAUUAGCUAUGUGCAACGGGAGAAGUCUGUUUAAUCCAAAUUACUGUUGUUUGAUCGAAGUAUAUAUGUACUUGAGUUGUUGUGAGCUAUAGUGGUAGCAAGAUGUUUUAAUGUCUGCUUGGGAACUGUUGUUUGUACUAGUGGUAAUAGGUGCAAAAUGAUAUUAUCUGCAAUGACUUUUGUUGGAGUAAGUGCCUGUAUAGUUCCUUUCAACUUUAAAGUUAUUGUACAAGAUCAUAUAAGAUGUCCAUGGUAGCUGUGUAUCGAAAUAUAGGACUGCAGAAGCAAUAAAAAUAUAUAACAUGUGAAGUUCUUUUUAUGAAAAUUAUUCUGUAAGAUCUCUCUGGUUCAUUUCUUUAGCAUCUUUUCUCAAUCUCUUGAGCUCCCCAUCAAGAUCUUUACACUCAUCAGCAUUUUCGUACAAAUGUGUUCUUGCUUUGCUUAGCUGUAGUAGUUUUUCUGCUUAACUCUCCUUGUAUUUUGGUUUAACCAGUUGUACAGCUACAACAUUUAAGUACUGUGUACACUUGCUCCAUUUGAUACCUUGCACUACUUGUACACCACUUCUAUUCUUUCUGGUACUUUAAUGAUACCUUGCUCUACUUGUACACCGCUUCUAAACUUUCAGUUACACAUACGCGCGCUCAUAAGCAUGAUACGUUUGGUGGAAUAAUUUUAGUUACACAGUAGUUUGCUCUUGACUCCACAAUCAUGUGUGUGUGUUUAAGAUUUGAGGUACGGCUCACGGCUGGUAUGCGUGAACUUAAUUGCUGUUUUUGUGGUGCAUGACGCGAUGAACUGCGGUCGUGCCGGCUCAACUGUGCGAGGUUGUUCAUAUCGUCGGAAAAGAGUUGGUUACUGCGUGGCAGUUCAUACCAUCUGUUCAGAGAUGAUUGCAACCGUGGAAGUACAUCGUGGGUAAGAGGUGAAAAACGCCAAUGUGGCUGCGAGCUGAUAUCUGCUGGAUCCCUUCAAGUCUGGUAAGAAGCUGAUCACGGCCGCAGCUGAGGAGGCGGCUGCUAGAGCGAGAAAAGAGAGAACCUGCAAUUAGUUUAGUUGAAGAAGCUGGAAUCCAGCAAGAUCAUACACUUGUGCAAUCGCCAACAUAAGACUCCAGGGGGUCAAUAAGCUCAUUAUUACCAUCAAAAAGCUGUCACAUUGAAUUUCAUGGUUACAUAAUGCAAACAUGAACACACUAAAAUUAUAGCUAUUGGAUUUCGGCACAUAUGAAAAGCU